Diospyros lotus (date-plum) is the source of this 2973-nucleotide RNA transcript. It is a transcript of the gene named protein ALTERED SEED GERMINATION 2, with no coding region annotated. NCBI's taxonomy places the organism in Eukaryota, Viridiplantae, Streptophyta, Magnoliopsida, Ericales, Ebenaceae. The record is from RefSeq and is a predicted model, not a curated record. The transcript is spliced from 21 exons.
GGGGCGUCCCGAUUGAACUAACCGACUGUCUUUCCAGAACGAAUUCCAGCUUCGAAAUCAAGAGAGACCAGUGUCGCGAACCAGUCGACGCUUAGGGUUUCGGAGCUCAUAGAUUCGCCAUUGGUUUCUGGAAGCUUCAGCAAUAUGGAGUCGGUCGGCUUCCACGACGGCAACAUCACCGAAAUGAUCGAGAAGCGUACUCUCGAUGUCCGCCAUGCCACUGGUCACCGCUUGCAAAUGCAGUCAUCGUUGAUAAGAAGGCUUUGCCAGGAAAGAAAACUAGAGGGGCAUCUUGGUUGUGUAAAUGCUGUUGCUUGGAACUCAAAAGGCACACUCCUGAUAUCUGGAUCUGAUGAUACACGAGUCAACAUAUAUAGCUAUUCAACUCGCCAGCUUUUGCACUCAAUUGAGAGUGGGCACUCUGCUAAUAUAUUCUGUACAAAAUUUGUUCCUGAAACUUCCGAUGAGUUUGUGGUAUCUGGUGCUGGUGACGCUGAAGUUCGGCUUUUUAAUCUGUCUCGUCUAAGGGGUAGAGGACCUGAUGAAUAUGAGAUUAGUCCAUCAGCAGUUUUUCAGUGUCAUAGUAGGAGAGUGAAAAAAUUAGCCGUGGAAGUUGGAAAUCCCAAUGUUGUAUGGAGUGCAAGUGAAGAUGGAACUCUGAGACAGCAUGAUUUUCGGGAGACUUCUUCUUGUCCUCCAGCUGGAUCACCUCAUCAGGAAUGUCGCAAUGUUUUAAUUGACUUGCGAUGUGGAGCCAAAGAUUCAUUAGCUGAUCCCCCCAAGAAGACACUGGCUCUAAAAUCUUGUGAUAUAAGCUCCACUAGGCCUCAUUUACUUCUUGUUGGUGGGAGUGAUGCAUUUGCACGUUUAUAUGAUAGACGAAUGCUGCCCCCACUCUCAUCCUGUUGGAAGAAGCUACCACCACCUCCUUGUGUAAACUAUUUCUGCCCAACGCAUCUUUCUGAUCGUAAUCAUUCUAGCUUGCACCUGACUCAUGUUACCUUUAGUCCAAAUGGAGAAGAGGUUCUCAUGAGUUAUAGUGGAGAGCAUGUGUACUUAAUGGAUGUAAAUAAUGUUGCUGGUAGCCCCAUGCAAUAUACAUCAGCAGAUGCUUCAAAGAUCAUGACAUUUAAUCCAAUACUUAAUGGAGUAGAAUUGCAUUCACCAGCUUCUCGUGUCCCCAAUAAUGGUUCUCCUUUAAAGAGGACAAUCUCUGCCAAGCUUGACAAGUGCAGAAAAUUGGUUCAAAUUGCGGAAAAAUCCUUAAUGGAAAAUGCAAAUUAUUUUUCGGGAAUUGAGGCAUGCAAUGAAGUAUUGGAUGGUCAUGGUUCUGAGAUUGGGCCUACAUUAAUGCACGAGUGUCUAUGUAUCCGUGCAGCUUUGUUGCUUAAGAGGAAGUGGAAAAAUGACGCUUAUAUUGCUAUAAGGGAUUGCCACAGAGCUAGGAGGAUCAAUUCUUCUUCAUAUAGGGCACUCCACAUUCAAUCUGAAGCUUUAGCACAGCUGGGAAAAUAUAAAGAAGCUCUAGACUUUGCUACUGCUGCUCAAUCAGUAGCACCAUCAAAUGCUGAAGUUGCAGAAACUGUUGAGUACAUUAAAAAACAUAUUGCAGUUGAAUAUGAGAAAAGUAGCAAGCUGACUGAUGCAGCACCAAAGACUGAAUCUCAAGCAGGAAAAGUAGUAUCAUUGAGUGACAUACUCUACUGGUCAGAGGCAAAUAGUGAUGCAUCACAAGAUGGUCCAAGAUCUGGAAGAGAAGAUUCUGAUUACGAUGAGGAAGUAGAGGUGGACUUUGAGACACCGAUGUCUAGUGAUGAAGGGCAUGAUGUUGAACCUAAUGUUCUUCAUGGCAGUUUAAAUUUGAGAAUUCAUAGAAGAGGUGAUUCAGCCAUGGAGACUGAUAAUGCAAGUGGCUCUAUUGGAUUGCCUACAUCAUCCCAAAAUGAUCAAACUAACCAGCCUGAAGUGGUGAUAGAUAUGAAACAGAGAUAUGUUGGCCACUGCAAUAUGGGGACCGACAUAAAGCAAGCUAGUUUUCUCGGCCAACUAGGUGAAUAUAUUGCGAGUGGGAGUGAUGAUGGCAGGUGGUUUAUAUGGGAAAAGAAAACUGGUAGACUAAUAAAGACGCUUGUCGGUGAUGAAGCUGUGGUAAACUGUGUGCAAUGCCAUCCAACUGACUGUGUUGUGGCUACAAGCGGUAUUGAUAGCACCAUAAAGAUUUGGACACCAACAGCUUCAGUCCCAUCCAUAGUGGCUGCAGGAGCUGCAGGACCAGAGCCUGCAAAUGUGGUGGAUGUCAUGGAGAAUAAUCAAACCAGACUAUGCCGUAAUCGUGAAAUUAUUCUGCCUUUCGAACUUGUGGAGCAUUUCCAAAUGCAUGAGCUUUCUGGAGGAACUGUGCGUCCCUUUGAAUGCGCACAGAGUUAAUUGUGUCAUGCUCAAUUGAACAGGGUGCCAGGUGAGCUGAGGUCGUUGCGCCUAUUUGAUUUGAGGCAUGGCUCAGACGGUUGGACGUAAAGAUGGCGUUGCUGUGGAAGUUGGGAAAAUAAAUAUGCCCCUCUUUUGCAUGAUGACAAAUGCUGAUUCCGAAGUCAAGAAGUGGUGGGUAACAUAAGUUUUGGGAAAAUAAAGUGAGGCAACUUGGUCUGGUAAAUCAAUGGUUGGUUAAUAAAUAGAUUUUUCUGCUUUUGUUUAGUCCUGUCUCGUACCCCUCUAAAUUUCCAUCCGUUGGCUAAAUAAAUUGAUCCGUUGAGGGAAGUAUAGUUCGGACAAUCAUUAGAAGUAAAUCUUGUGACUGUCUGUUAAUAUGUGGUUUGGUAGGUUAGCCUUUUGUAAAGUUGUAAAUGUUACAUUUGUCAUAUGAUGAGAAACAAUCAAUGUAUAGUUACGCCAGUCCUAUACCUCAUUAGCGCUCUGUAAUAUGCCAAUAUUUGCAUGAUAUUGAUGAUGCAUGUCUAUUUAGUUUUUGCUUCA